RNAcentral lists this ribosomal RNA (467 nucleotides) under uncultured bacterium. Its description in RNAcentral is "partial 16S ribosomal RNA". It matches the Rfam family "Bacterial small subunit ribosomal RNA", at positions 29 to 507 of the family's 1533-position model. The record is from RNAcentral.
ACGCACGCUGGCGGCGUGCUUCACACAUGCAAGUCGAACGGAAAGGCCCUGCUUUUGUGGGGUGCUCGAGUGGCGAACGGGUGAGUAACACGUGAGUAACCUGCCCUUGACUUUAGGAUAACUUCAGGAAACUGGGGCUAAUACCGGAUAGGAGCUCCUGCUGCAUGGUGGGGGUUGGAAAGUUUCGGCGGUUGGGGAUGGACUCGCGGCUUAUCAGCUUGUUGGUGGGGUAGUGGCUUACCAAGGCUUUGACGGGUAGCCGGCCUGAGAGGGUGACCGGCCACAUUGGGACUGAGAUACGGCCCAGACUCCUACGGGAGGCAGCAGUGGGGAAUAUUGCACAAUGGGCGGAAGCCUGAUGCAGCAACGCCGCGUGCGGGAUGACGGCCUUCGGGUUGUAAACCGCUUUCGCCUGUGACGAAGCGUGAGUGACGGUAAUGGGUAAAGAAGCACCGGCUAACUACGUG